This 347-nucleotide long non-coding RNA is filed under the name Nicotiana benthamiana. RNAcentral describes it as "long non-coding RNA (NBEN_LNC014415)". The record is from RNAcentral. Lineage: Eukaryota; Viridiplantae; Streptophyta; Magnoliopsida; Solanales; Solanaceae.
GCGAAGAAAGAGGCAGAGCAAGCAAAGGAAGCAGCUAGUACCAUGGAAAGUAGACUGCUUGCAGCUAAAAAAGAGAUAGAGGCUGCAAAAGCUUCAGAGAAGUUGGCACUAGCAGCUAUCACUGCUCUACAAGGGAAUGAAUCAACCCGAAGCACCAAUGAUGAAGUAACACUUUCUUUGCAAGAGUAUUAUGAACUCAGCAAGCAGGCCCACGAGGCAGAGGAGAAUGACUCAACCCGAAGCACCAAUGAUGAAGUAACACUUUCUUUGCAAGAGUAUUAUGAACUCAGCAAGCAGGCCCACGAGGCAGAGGAACAAGCGAACAUGAGGGUGAAUGCUGCUAUCUC